GCACAAGCAGCGGAGCGUGUGGUUUAAUUCAUUGCUACACGAAGAACCUUACCUGGGUUUGACAUAUAAGUUGUAGGGAACUGAAAAGGGACCGACCCUUCGGGGAGCUUAUACAGGUGUUGCAUGGCUGUCGUCAGCUCGUGUCGUGAGAUGUUCGGUUAAGUCCGCUAACGAGCGCAACCCUCGCCGUAUGUUACAAGUGUCAUACGGGACUGCCGGUAAAAAGCCGGAGGAGGGUGAGGAUAAUGUCAAGUCAGCAUGACCUUUAUAUCCAGGGCUACACACACGCUACAAUGGUCUGUACAAUUGGUUGCCAAGCCGCGAGGCGGAGCCAAUCCGUAAAGCAGGCCUCAGUUCAGAUUGCAGUCUGCAACUCGACUGCAUGAAGCCGGAGUUGCUAGUAACCGCAGGUCAGCAAUACUGCGGUGAAUACGUUCCCGGGUCUU
RNAcentral lists this ribosomal RNA (446 nucleotides) under uncultured Anaerolineaceae bacterium. RNAcentral describes it as "bacterial SSU rRNA". It matches the Rfam family "Bacterial small subunit ribosomal RNA", at positions 923 to 1382 of the family's 1533-position model. The record is from RNAcentral. Lineage: Bacteria; Bacillati; Chloroflexota; Anaerolineae; Anaerolineales; Anaerolineaceae.